This 253-nucleotide ribosomal RNA is filed under the name uncultured bacterium. Its description in RNAcentral is "partial 16S ribosomal RNA". It matches the Rfam family "Bacterial small subunit ribosomal RNA", at positions 524 to 776 of the family's 1533-position model. The record is from RNAcentral.
UACAGAGGGUGCGAGCGUUAAUCGGAAUUACUGGGCGUAAAGCGUGCGUAGACGGCUAUCUAAGUCGGGUGUGAAAGCCCCGGGCUCAACCUGGGAAUUGCAUUCGAGACUGAAUAGCUAGGGUACGGUAGAGGGAAGUGGAAUUUCCGGUGUAGCGGUGAAAUGCGUAGAUAUCGGAAGGAACAUCAGUGGCGAAAGCGACUUCCUGGACCAGUACCGACGUUCAGGCACGAAAGCCAGGGGAGCAAACGGG